UCAAAUAAACCCCAAAAAUUAGGGUUUUCAAUGCUAAUCAAGUGUAAACAAGGUAAAUCUAACCAACACAAAUAGACAGACUAAGAAACUCAAAUAAAGAUCCAAAAAUUGGGAUUUUCAAUAUGCUAACUCAAAUAUAAAAAAAACACAAGCAAAACACAACAAAACAUGUCGAGAAUCAGAGAAGAGAUUCGAAAUAACUUGACAUGAAAUCCUAGUUGAAGAAUAAAAAGUAUUGAAAAAUAAAUUAAAGAAACUUCGAGAAAAAAUGCUUAGCAUGUUCGAACACACAUAGAUCCGAAGCAGAUCUAAAAUAAAAUUGGAAGAACCUUAGAGAUUAAACCCAGGUUAUGAGAAAGGCUUUGAAAACCAUCGAACUAAACAAUAGAGUCAAAGGUCAAACUCGAAUAUCCAUGGCUAGCCGGACAAAGGUUGAAGACGACUGGAGAACAGUCAUCAAGCAAUGGUCGAAACCCUCCAAGAUCUGGUUAUAGGACCUCAGAAAGGAGCACUUAGUAGUCAUGAGAGGCUGUUAUUGGCCUCCGAUGAGCCUAGGAAGCGAUGUGAGGCUGGAAUAGGCCUCCAAUCAGCCUGGGAAGCCAUGGAUUAAGGUUUCAGUAAGAGACGACAGCUAGGAUUUGAGGUGAGUUGAGAGAGAGUUGAGAGAAAGAAAGGAUUCAAAGUGGC
Molecule: long non-coding RNA, 687 nt
Filed under: Nicotiana benthamiana
Lineage: Eukaryota; Viridiplantae; Streptophyta; Magnoliopsida; Solanales; Solanaceae
Description: long non-coding RNA (NBEN_LNC004228)
Source: RNAcentral